Procambarus clarkii (red swamp crayfish) is the source of this 790-nucleotide non-coding RNA. Lineage: Eukaryota; Metazoa; Arthropoda; Malacostraca; Decapoda; Cambaridae. The record is from RefSeq and is a predicted model, not a curated record.
GAAGCUCGAAUGUGCCUGAGAUAUGAAGGUGGUGAUGGGACCACUGGUGGACCGAUGAUUGGAGUCAUACCCUGCCGAGCAGAAGGUGGUGGGAGAUGUUCCAGAUGUGCUACUUGAGUUACCAAGAUGAGCGUGUGGAGAGGUGCGGGCUGGGCGAAACAGAGCAAUGGUGAAGUAUCUAUUUAUGAUGUAGCAGCAUGUGUGGAGGCCAACCAACGCCACACUGCAGAGUAACGGAAGAGGCUGUGACCUGCAGGCGAGUGUGAUAUGUUCAUUUCAACACAUCUUCCUCCAAGAAUUUAGUUACGUAGUCCAUAAAACUGAAAUCCCAAGUAAUAGUAAAUAUCAUUCUGCAGGUGGAGUGGCGCUUGGUUUCAUAACCCAGUGCAUGUCCCAUUUCAAAACUGGCCCAUGAGGCACCUGCUUCCCAAGCUGUCUCGUUUUUAGAACAGUGCAUGGCCGUGUAUUUGAGAUAGUAAUGGUGAUAAGGAAUGUUUAUCGUAUAUGAAUGUUCAGAAUGCUGAAUAGAAUAUAGUUUCGCAGUUGACACGCUUGACUACCCUAGAGGUGGAUGACGUUGGUACCAUCCUGUGUGGUUACUCUAGGGACAACCUCCAGCUGUUGAAGGAUCAAGUUUCACUCUUCCAUACAAGAACCGAGUACGGAAGGCGCACAAGGUACACCAUUGAUGAACCAGGAAAAGGGAUGGAGCCCGAGGGCAGACUACUGCGCCCAUGAGGUCGACACACAAUCGUAGUUACAGCGGGCAGCCGCCGCGUUCGCCCUUGGG